AGCGAACGCUGGCGGCAGGCCUAACACAUGCAAGUCGAACGCCCGUAGCAAUACGGGAGUGGCAGACGGGUGAGUAACGCGUGGGAACGUGCCCUUCGGUUCGGAAUAACCCAGGGAAACUUGGGCUAAUACCGGAUACGUCCGUAAGGAGAAAGAUUUAUCGCCGAAGGAGCGGCCCGCGUCCGAUUAGCUAGUUGGUGAGGUAAAGGCUCACCAAGGCGACGAUCGGUAGCUGGUCUGAGAGGANGACCAGCCACACUGGGACUGAGACACGGCCCAGACUCCUACGGGAGGCAGCAGUGGGGAAUAUUGGACAAUGGGCGCAAGCCUGAUCCAGCCAUGCCGCGUGGGUGAUGAAGGCCCUAGGGUUGUAAAGCCUUUCGGCGGGAAGAUAAUGACGGUACCCGCAGAAGAAGCCCCC
This 421-nucleotide ribosomal RNA is filed under the name uncultured bacterium. Its description in RNAcentral is "bacterial SSU rRNA". It matches the Rfam family "Bacterial small subunit ribosomal RNA", at positions 29 to 495 of the family's 1533-position model. The record is from RNAcentral.